RNAcentral lists this ribosomal RNA (743 nucleotides) under Bacillus tequilensis. RNAcentral describes it as "bacterial SSU rRNA". It matches the Rfam family "Bacterial small subunit ribosomal RNA", at positions 457 to 1200 of the family's 1533-position model. The record is from RNAcentral. Lineage: Bacteria; Bacillati; Bacillota; Bacilli; Caryophanales; Bacillaceae.
UAGGGCGGUACCUUGACGGUACCUAACCAGAAAGCCACGGCUAACUACGUGCCAGCAGCCGCGGUAAUACGUAGGUGGCAAGCGUUGUCCGGAAUUAUUGGGCGUAAAGGGCUCGCAGGCGGUUUCUUAAGUCUGAUGUGAAAGCCCCCGGCUCAACCGGGGAGGGUCAUUGGAAACUGGGGAACUUGAGUGCAGAAGAGGAGAGUGGAAUUCCACGUGUAGCGGUGAAAUGCGUAGAGAUGUGGAGGAACACCAGUGGCGAAGGCGACUCUCUGGUCUGUAACUGACGCUGAGGAGCGAAAGCGUGGGGAGCGAACAGGAUUAGAUACCCUGGUAGUCCACGCCGUAAACGAUGAGUGCUAAGUGUUAGGGGGUUUCCGCCCCUUAGUGCUGCAGCUAACGCAUUAAGCACUCCGCCUGGGGAGUACGGUCGCAAGACUGAAACUCAAAGGAAUUGACGGGGGCCCGCACAAGCGGUGGAGCAUGUGGUUUAAUUCGAAGCAACGCGAAGAACCUUACCAGGUCUUGACAUCCUCUGACAAUCCUAGAGAUAGGACGUCCCCUUCGGGGGCAGAGUGACAGGUGGUGCAUGGUUGUCGUCAGCUCGUGUCGUGAGAUGUUGGGUUAAGUCCCGCAACGAGCGCAACCCUUGAUCUUAGUUGCCAGCAUUCAGUUGGGCACUCUAAGGUGACUGCCGGUGACAAACCGGAGGAAGGUGGGGAUGACGUCAAAUCAUCAUGCCC